RNAcentral lists this transfer RNA (73 nucleotides) under Lactococcus lactis subsp. lactis. RNAcentral describes it as "tRNA-Thr". The stretch from base 16 to 73 matches the Rfam family "tRNA", at positions 1 to 56 of the family's 71-position model. Rfam says of the family: Transfer RNA (tRNA) molecules are approximately 80 nucleotides in length. Their secondary structure includes four short double-helical elements and three loops (D, anti-codon, and T loops). Lineage: Bacteria; Bacillati; Bacillota; Bacilli; Lactobacillales; Streptococcaceae. The record is from RNAcentral.
AAUUUAUUUAUUUUAGCCGUUGUAGCUCAGUCGGUAGAGCAGCACCAUGGUAAGGUGAAGGUCGACAGUUCGA